This is a long non-coding RNA of Ostrea edulis (European flat oyster), 194 nucleotides long. RefSeq lists it as uncharacterized. The transcript has 2 exons. The record is from RefSeq and is a predicted model, not a curated record. NCBI's taxonomy places the organism in Eukaryota, Metazoa, Mollusca, Bivalvia, Ostreida, Ostreidae.
UUCCGGAUUUUUUUUUUUUUAUAUUUGUCCGGGAUUGGUUUUGUUUUGUAUGUUACAAAAAGCUCCCAGCACGUUCACGGCAUGGUACCCGUACUCAUGCAUUUUGACUUCCAACUUUCCACAACUUCAUGGCACCAAAGUUAUUUUACCCUCCCUGGAGGUUGUCUCUCUGCCAUUAAAAGUAAAGAAACAUA